RNAcentral lists this small RNA (198 nucleotides) under Mycolicibacterium insubricum. RNAcentral describes it as "Mycobacterium insubricum c-di-AMP sequence". It matches the Rfam family "c-di-AMP riboswitch aptamer (ydaO/yuaA leader)". Rfam says of the family: This family represents a conserved RNA structure found upstream of the ydaO and yuaA genes in Bacillus subtilis and related genes in other bacteria. The ydaO/yuaA element is thought to act as a genetic "off" switch for the ydaO and yuaA genes in its native state. Lineage: Bacteria; Bacillati; Actinomycetota; Actinomycetes; Mycobacteriales; Mycobacteriaceae. The record is from Rfam by way of RNAcentral.
GUGGGGGCCACACCAACCUGUGGAUGGAGACGGGGGACCCAACCGGUCCACCGAUACGGACCUGAGGCCCAGUGGGCCUCUUGGGGUGAAGCCGACGUAGUACCCGCGGGGAUACCCUGCGGCCAUGAUGCCGGCCGGGCAGCCUCUCCAGCCCGAACCCGACAGCUGACCUCGUGGGCGCGCAUGACGAGAGGAACU